UUGAAAAGAUCGUGAAAAUAGGUUUGCAAUCUCUCGUUGAUGUUCUUCUCCUUCAUUAAAAUACAUCUAUCCCUACCUUUAUAAACUUCACAACUUUUAGAUCAUGUCUUUUUCUUUCCCUAGCUUUGACAAUUUUGAUCAUAUUAUCAUGCUCCCUAAGUCUCCAUACUCCAUUACAUCUCCUCAUAGGUUAUCUACUUUGCUUUAGAUGAUGCCUUCUUUGCCUCCCAUUUGCCAACUUCUCUCAUUCAAUCCCACUCGUUCCUCCUCAUCAGGGCUUAACUCUGGACAAGCUGUGGAAACUACCAAGUUGGAGUACGGUAGGGGCAAAGGGAAUUUCCGGUGGAGCCGUGAAAUGCGUAGAGAUCGGAAAGAACACCAACCGCGAAAGCACUCUGCUGGGCCGACAUUGACACUGAGGGACGAAAGCUAGAGGAGUGAAUGGGAUUAGAUGCCCUAGUAGUCCUAGCCGUAAACGAUGGUACUAGGCGUUGUGCGUAUCGACCCGUACAUUGUUGUAGCUAACGUGUUAAGUAUCCCGCCU
Molecule: long non-coding RNA, 544 nt
Filed under: Helianthus annuus (common sunflower)
Lineage: Eukaryota; Viridiplantae; Streptophyta; Magnoliopsida; Asterales; Asteraceae
Description: Eukaryotic small subunit ribosomal RNA
Rfam family: Bacterial small subunit ribosomal RNA (bases 252-539)
Source: RNAcentral